CCUACGGGUGGCUGCAGUGGGGAAUAUUGGACAAUGGGCGAAAGCCUGAUCCAGCAAUGCCGCGUGUGUGAAGAAGGCCUUCGGGUUGUAAAGCACUUUAAGCAGGAAAGAAGGGGGUUAUAUUAAUACCAUAACCUUUUGACGUUACCUGCAGAAUAAGCACCGGCUAACUCCGUGCCAGCAGCCGCGGUAAUACGGAGGGUGCGAGCGUUAAUCGGAAUUACGUAGCGUAUAGCGCAUGUAGGCUGUUAAAUCCCCGAGCUUAACUUGGGAAUGGCAUUCGAUACUGUCAAGCUAGAGUAGGCUAGAGGAAAGGGGAAUUCCGCGUGUAGCAGUGAAAUGCGUAGAUAUGCGGAGGAACACCAAUGGCGAAGGCACCUUUCUGGGGUCAUACUGACGCUGAGAUGCGAAAGCGUGGGGAGCAAACAGGAUUAGAUACCCGAGUAGUC
RNAcentral lists this ribosomal RNA (449 nucleotides) under uncultured bacterium. Its description in RNAcentral is "partial 16S ribosomal RNA". It matches the Rfam family "Bacterial small subunit ribosomal RNA", at positions 338 to 795 of the family's 1533-position model. The record is from RNAcentral.